AGUGAACGCUGGCGGUAGGCCUAACACAUGCAAGUCGAGCGGCAGCACAGUAAGAGCUUGCUCUUACGGGUGGCGAGUGGCGGACGGGUGAGGAAUACAUCGGAAUCUACUUUUUCGUGGGGGAUAACGUAGGGAAACUUACGCUAAUACCGCAUACGACCUACGGGUGAAAGCAGGGGAUCUUCGGACCUUGCGCGAUUGAAUGAGCCGAUGUCGGAUUAGCUAGUUGGCGGGGUAAAGGCCCACCAAGGCGACGAUCCGUAGCUGGUCUGAGAGGAUGAUCAGCCACACUGGAGCUGAGACACGGUCCAGACUCCUACGGGAGGCAGCAGUGGGGAAUAUUGGACAAUGGGCGCAAGCCUGAUCCAGCCAUACCGCGUGGGUGAAGAAGGCCUUCGGGUUGUAAAGCCCUUUUGUUGGGAAAGAAAAGCAGCAGGUUAAUACCCCGCUGUUCUGACGGUACCCAAAGAAUAAGCACCGGCUAACUUCGUG
This 492-nucleotide ribosomal RNA is filed under the name uncultured bacterium. RNAcentral's name for it is "partial 16S ribosomal RNA". It matches the Rfam family "Bacterial small subunit ribosomal RNA", at positions 29 to 507 of the family's 1533-position model. The record is from RNAcentral.